RNAcentral lists this small RNA (28 nucleotides) under Bombyx mori (domestic silkworm). RNAcentral describes it as "ovarian small RNA-8343". Lineage: Eukaryota; Metazoa; Arthropoda; Insecta; Lepidoptera; Bombycidae. The record is from RNAcentral.
UGAUGAAAUCAUCAUCUCCCAACGGUGG